UACUCUGUAAUGUGCUCC
RNAcentral lists this non-coding RNA (18 nucleotides) under Mus musculus (house mouse). Lineage: Eukaryota; Metazoa; Chordata; Mammalia; Rodentia; Muridae. The record is from RNAcentral.